UUAAGCGACUAAGCGUACACGGUGGAUGCCCUGGCAGUCAGAGGCGAUGAAGGACGUGCUAAUCUGCGAUAAGCGUCGGUGAGGUGAUAUGAACCGUUAUAACCGGCGAUUUCCGAAUGGGGAAACCCAGUGUGUUUCGACACACUAUCAUUAACUGAAUCCAUAGGUUAAUGAGGCGAACCGGGGGAACUGAAACAUCUAAGUACCCCGAGGAAAAGAAAUCAACCGAGAUUCCCCCAGUAGCGGCGAGCGAACGGGGAGCAGCCCAGAGCCUGAAUCAGUGUGUGUGUUAGUGGAAGCGUCUGGAAAGGCGCGCGAUACAGGGUGACAGCCCCGUACACAAAAAUGCACAUACUGUGAGCUCGAUGAGUAGGGCGGGACACGUGGUAUCCUGUCUGAAUAUGGGGGGACCAUCCUCCAAGGCUAAAUACUCCUGACUGACCGAUAGUGAACCAGUACCGUGAGGGAAAGGCGAAAAGAACCCCGGCGAGGGGAGUGAAAAAGAACCUGAAACCGUGUACGUACAAGCAGUGGGAGCCUCUUUUAUGGGGUGACUGCGUACCUUUUGUAUAAUGGGUCAGCGACUUAUAUUCUGUAGCAAGGUUAACCGAAUAGGGGAGCCGAAGGGAAACCGAGUCUUAACUGGGCGUUAAGUUGCAGGGUAUAGACCCGAAACCCGGUGAUCUAGCCAUGGGCAGGUUGAAGGUUGGGUAACACUAACUGGAGGACCGAACCGACUAAUGUUGAAAAAUUAGCGGAUGACUUGUGGCUGGGGGUGAAAGGCCAAUCAAACCGGGAGAUAGCUGGUUCUCCCCGAAAGCUAUUUAGGUAGCGCCUCGUGAAUUCAUCUCCGGGGGUAGAGCACUGUUUCGGCAAGGGGGUCAUCCCGACUUACCAACCCGAUGCAAACUGCGAAUACCGGAGAAUGUUAUCACGGGAGACACACGGCGGGUGCUAACGUCCGUCGUGAAGAGGGAAACAACCCAGACCGCCAGCUAAGGUCCCAAAGUCAUGGUUAAGUGGGAAACGAUGUGGGAAGGCCCAGACAGCCAGGAUGUUGGCUUAGAAGCAGCCAUCAUUUAAAGAAAGCGUAAUAGCUCACUGGUCGAGUCGGCCUGCGCGGAAGAUGUAACGGGGCUAAACCAUGCACCGAAGCUGCGGCAGCGACACUGUGUGUUGUUGGGUAGGGGAGCGUUCUGUAAGCCUGUGAAGGUGUGCUGUGAGGCAUGCUGGAGGUAUCAGAAGUGCGAAUGCUGACAUAAGUAACGAUAAAGCGGGUGAAAAGCCCGCUCGCCGGAAGACCAAGGGUUCCUGUCCAACGUUAAUCGGGGCAGGGUGAGUCGACCCCUAAGGCGAGGCCGAAAGGCGUAGUCGAUGGGAAACAGGUUAAUAUUCCUGUACUUGGUGUUACUGCGAAGGGGGGACGGAGAAGGCUAUGUUGGCCGGGCGACGGUUGUCCCGGUUUAAGCGUGUAGGCUGAUUUUCCAGGCAAAUCCGGAAAACUAAGGCUGAGGCGUGAUGACGAGGCACUACGGUGCUGAAGCAACAAAUGCCCUGCUUCCAGGAAAAGCCUCUAAGCAUCAGGUAACAUCAAAUCGUACCCCAAACCGACACAGGUGGUCAGGUAGAGAAUACCAAGGCGCUUGAGAGAACUCGGGUGAAGGAACUAGGCAAAAUGGUGCCGUAACUUCGGGAGAAGGCACGCUGAUAUGUAGGUGAAGUCCCUCGCGGAUGGAGCUGAAAUCAGUCGAAGAUACCAGCUGGCUGCAACUGUUUAUUAAAAACACAGCACUGUGCAAACACGAAAGUGGACGUAUACGGUGUGACGCCUGCCCGGUGCCGGAAGGUUAAUUGAUGGGGUUAGCGGUAACGCGAAGCUCUUGAUCGAAGCCCCGGUAAACGGCGGCCGUAACUAUAACGGUCCUAAGGUAGCGAAAUUCCUUGUCGGGUAAGUUCCGACCUGCACGAAUGGCGUAAUGAUGGCCAGGCUGUCUCCACCCGAGACUCAGUGAAAUUGAACUCGCUGUGAAGAUGCAGUGUACCCGCGGCAAGACGGAAAGACCCCGUGAACCUUUACUAUAGCUUGACACUGAACAUUGAGCCUUGAUGUGUAGGAUAGGUGGGAGGCUUUGAAGUGUGGACGCCAGUCUGCAUGGAGCCGGCCUUGAAAUACCACCCUUUAAUGUUUGAUGUUCUAACGUUGGCCCCUGACCGGGGUUGCGGACAGUGUCUGGUGGGUAGUUUGACUGGGGCGGUCUCCUCCUAAAGAGUAACGGAGGAGCACGAAGGUUGGCUAAUCCUGGUCGGACAUCAGGAGGUUAGUGCAAUGGCAUAAGCCAGCUUGACUGCGAGCGUGACGGCGCGAGCAGGUGCGAAAGCAGGUCAUAGUGAUCCGGUGGUUCUGAAUGGAAGGGCCAUCGCUCAACGGAUAAAAGGUACUCCGGGGAUAACAGGCUGAUACCGCCCAAGAGUUCAUAUCGACGGCGGUGUUUGGCACCUCGAUGUCGGCUCAUCACAUCCUGGGGCUGAAGUAGGUCCCAAGGGUAUGGCUGUUCGCCAUUUAAAGUGGUACGCGAGCUGGGUUUAGAACGUCGUGAGACAGUUCGGUCCCUAUCUGCCGUGGGCGCUGGAGAACUGAGGGGGGCUGCUCCUAGUACGAGAGGACCGGAGUGGACGCAUCACUGGUGUUCGGGUUGUCAUGCCAAUGGCACUGCCCGGUAGCUAAAUGCGGAAGAGAUAAGUGCUGAAAGCAUCUAAGCACGAAACUUGCCCCGAGAUGAGUUCUCCCUGACUCCUUGAGGGUCCUGAAGGAACGUUGAAGACGACGACGUUGAUAGGCCGGGUGUGUAAGCGCAGCGAUGCGUUGAGCUAACCGGUACUAAUGAACCGUGAGGCUUAACCU
This 2902-nucleotide ribosomal RNA is filed under the name Escherichia coli. Its description in RNAcentral is "bacterial LSU rRNA". It matches the Rfam family "Bacterial large subunit ribosomal RNA". Lineage: Bacteria; Pseudomonadati; Pseudomonadota; Gammaproteobacteria; Enterobacterales; Enterobacteriaceae. The record is from RNAcentral.